Molecule: long non-coding RNA, 898 nt
Filed under: Equus caballus (horse)
Lineage: Eukaryota; Metazoa; Chordata; Mammalia; Perissodactyla; Equidae
Description: lncRNA (ENSECAG00000046081.1)
Source: RNAcentral
ACAUUUGCAACCUUGCUCCCAUCCUGUAAGGAUGUAAAGACCGGAUCGAGGGAGGCCUCAGGUGGACAAAAUCACAGAGCUGCUUUUGGAGCAAUGACGGCCAUGACUGGGAGUCUGAUCUUCUACUCAUGGGUCCAGAGCCUCCAGCUGGUCACCUUAUCCGGAGGCGACAGAGACAAGGGGCGAUGACACCAACGUCAAUGUCAUACCUUAUGACCAGACCUGGAGAUUCCAAGGGACCAGGCAUUCACAUCUGAUGGCUCAGUUAGCCUGCCCUCAGAGAGCCAGCCUGCCGGGGCUUGUUGCCAUGACCUGUUACACUGCUCGGCCAGGAGGGUGUGUGUGGCCUGUCAUAUGUGAGUGUGUGGGUCUCGUCCGUGUCCCAGGAGCAGUAGGGGGGCUUGUCAAGUCUUCUGAUGGAGAAAUCACUCUGGCAGAACAUGAUCUGAAACCACACCCUCUCCCGAGUGGCCGCUCCAAGGGCCUGGGGAGCCUUGGCAUCUGUCCAACAUCAGAGUCUUUGUCCAGUAUCGAGAUGGAAGUUAGAAAGACUUUGAAAUGUGACGAAUUGCAGCCCCUUUCCCACGUCACCCCGCUUGCCUGGCACGCCCAUGGCCCACCCUCUUCCAGGUGGCACCCUGCCCGGCCUUCAGGGGCUGAGUGUCUGCGUGUCUGGUUGCCCCACUGUGACUGGAGCUUAGCUGAGAUUCUGCCACGAGGAUGUCACCACAUCUGCCGCCAGAGAACUUUCCCCUCCACGCCAGAUGCUGCUGGGGAACUGGAAGGACAGAGCGCUGGCGCUUCACCCAGCCCACGGGCCCCACCACUUGAUCUGUUCUGGGUCGGCUUGCUGUUGACAGUCUGCACGACGUAGGCAGCGUGGGACCGUCACCUGCCC